This is a long non-coding RNA of Cucurbita pepo subsp. pepo (vegetable marrow), 1473 nucleotides long. RefSeq lists it as uncharacterized. The record is from RefSeq and is a predicted model, not a curated record. Lineage: Eukaryota; Viridiplantae; Streptophyta; Magnoliopsida; Cucurbitales; Cucurbitaceae.
UGUUGGCCUGUUAGGAUUACUAUGGUUAUUCUCUGAAAUUUCCGAUGAGUCGCCGGAAGAAGAACUUCAUUGCAAUGUGCGCUGGCGGUGUCUCGGUGUUGAUACUUACUAUUUCGAGAGUUUGGAAAGGAAAUGUUGAAAUCCGAGAGCAGGGCCUACCAACUACCAAGUUAGUUUUCUUUCCACGAUGGUUCUCCACCAUUUCUACUCUUUUGCUUUAUAUAUUUGCGCCCACAGUUUCCAAAAAAGAGAUGAGAACACACUUUUAAACGACACACCCCGAAUCACGAGGGAAAAGAAAAACUGCUUUCAAAUGUUUUUUAAAGCUGGAAAAUUUGUUUUUUACAGAUCGCUAAGCGUUAAUGAAGUUUUCUAGAAAAAGAAAACUUUAGUCAAAAGGGGGAUAGAAAAACAAUUUAUUUCUCUGUGAAUGAUACUGAUUUUGCUCGGAUUAAACUCCAUUUUAGUUCCUUUAUUCUUUGAAUAAAUUGAUUGUGCGGCCUUGAAAAUAUGCAAGUGAGCAUAUUCGAAGUCAAAUUGGUUACUUUUUAGAAAUGGUGGCGAGGGAUUAAGAUAAGAUAUAUUAGAAGUUCUAAGAACAAUUUCAUAUUCCACUCCAUUUUAAGUUUGGACACGAUCGUUUCACAAUUCACAAAGACCCCCCAAGCUUUUCUUUUAGAGAAAUGUCCAAUUCCCAAUCCUAUCAGCUAACUGAAGUAUGGCUGGUCUUGGGCCACUCUGGUUUUAUCUGCAUGACAAAGUGGGUCAAGACUGAGACAAUCUAUAAGCCUUAUCAUUCCAUCAUUUUGAUUCAAUUACUCUCUUAUCCCCAUAUCCUUUUUUUCAUGCCCCGACCCUACCAUUAUCCAUUCACUUUCUGACAUGCCCCAUUCUCAUCCAUCCAUACAUUUAUCCAUCCAUCUAUCAUAUUGGGACUACUUGUUCUUAUACUCAAAGAACCAUUUAGUCAAGUCCUGAAGAGAAUACCAUUCACCAUGGACGGGAAAGUUGACCGAACAGAUCAGAAGUUGAAUGGUCGGCUUAACGAGAUUGUUGACAAGAGAAUGAAGCGUAACGUUCGAGGUUCAAAAGACUUCCUAACACUUAUUUUGAGGGCAAGAGAAUCAGGGACGGUAUGAAGGAAUGUCUUCACUCCAGACUCUACAUCAGUGCAGUCACAUACGAACACCCUACUUGUUGCUGGGUCAGCUUCUCUUGUAUAUUUAGUUGCUGGACAUCCAGAAGUAAGGGAAGACGUUGCUAGAAGCAAUCAACGACUUUGGUCAAUCAGAUCAGAUACCAAUAGCUGCUAAUGAUCUUCAGAAGAAGUUUCCAUAUCUUGAACAGGCUAAGUCGUUUCUGGUCUAUUGUUCUCAUUUCUGUGGUUUAAGACCCUCUCACAUGAAGAAUGUUUUGCUUUCAGUUUGAAUGCAAGUAUCUAUCAUCAAAGUUAUGUGAAAAGAAGAUUAUGUA